GAUGAACGCUGGCGGCGUGCCUAAUACAUGCAAGUCGAGCGAACGGACGAGAAGCUUGCUUCUCUGAUGUUAGCGGCGGACGGGUGAGUAACACGUGGAUAACCUACCUAUAAGACUGGGAUAACUUCGGGAAACCGGAGCUAAUACCGGAUAAUAUUUUGAACCGCAUGGUUCAAAAGUGAAAGACGGUCUUGCUGUCACUUAUAGAUGGAUCCGCGCUGCAUUAGCUAGUUGGUAAGGUAACGGCUUGCCAAGGCAACGAUGCAUAGCCGACCUGAGAGGGUGAUCGGCCACACUGGAACUGAGACACGGUCCAGACUCCUACGGGAGGCAGCAGUAGGGAAUCUUCCGCAAUGGGCGAAAGCCUGACGGAGCAACGCCGCGUGAGUGAUGAAGGUCUUCGGAUCGUAAAACUCUGUUAUUAGGGAAGAACAUAUGUGUAAGUAACUGUGCACAUCUUGACGGUACCUAAUCAGAAAGCCACGGCUAACUACGUGCCAGCAGCCGCGGUAAUACGUAGGUGGCAAGCGUUAUCCGGAAUUAUUGGGCGUAAAGCGCGCGUAGGCGGUUUUUUAAGUCUGAUGUGAAAGCCCACGGCUCAACCGUGGAGGGUCAUUGGAAACUGGAAAACUUGAGUGCAGAAGAGGAAAGUGGAAUUCCAUGUGUAGCGGUGAAAUGCGCAGAGAUAUGGAGGAACACCAGUGGCGAAGGCGACUUUCUGGUCUGUAACUGACGCUGAUGUGCGAAAGCGUGGGGAUCAAACAGGAUUAGAUACCCUGGUAGUCCACGCCGUAAACGAUGAGUGCUAAGUGUUAGGGGGUUUCCGCCCCUUAGUGCUGCAGCUAACGCAUUAAGCACUCCGCCUGGGGAGUACGACCGCAAGGUUGAAACUCAAAGGAAUUGACGGGGACCCGCACAAGCGGUGGAGCAUGUGGUUUAAUUCGAAGCAACGCGAAGAACCUUACCAAAUCUUGACAUCCUUUGACAACUCUAGAGAUAGAGCCUUCCCCUUCGGGGGACAAAGUGACAGGUGGUGCAUGGUUGUCGUCAGCUCGUGUCGUGAGAUGUUGGGUUAGGUCCCGCAACGAGCGCAACCCUUAAGCUUAGUUGCCAUCAUUAAGUUGGGCACUCUAAGUUGACUGCCGGUGACAAACCGGAGGAAGGUGGGGAUGACGUCAAAUCAUCAUGCCCCUUAUGAUUUGGGCUACACACGUGCUACAAUGGACAAUACAAAGGGCAGCGAAACCGCGAGGUCAAGCAAAUCCCAUAAAGUUGUUCUCAGUUCGGAUUGUAGUCUGCAACUCGACUACAUGAAGCUGGAAUCGCUAGUAAUCGUAGAUCAGCAUGCUACGGUGAAUACGUUCCCGGGUCU
RNAcentral lists this ribosomal RNA (1372 nucleotides) under uncultured bacterium. RNAcentral describes it as "bacterial SSU rRNA". It matches the Rfam family "Bacterial small subunit ribosomal RNA", at positions 28 to 1381 of the family's 1533-position model. The record is from RNAcentral.